AUACAAUGAUGAGGACAUCUUCUGAGUAACUCCUAAAAUCUUUCCCAUGCAUCAUACAAGCUCUCAUCUUCAAGUUGAUGGAAAGAUGUAAUCUCAUUCCUCAAUUU
Citrus sinensis (sweet orange) is the source of this 107-nucleotide non-coding RNA. The record is from Rfam. NCBI's taxonomy places the organism in Eukaryota, Viridiplantae, Streptophyta, Magnoliopsida, Sapindales, Rutaceae.